GUGAGGAAUAUUGGUCAAUGGGCGGGAGCCUGAACCAGCCAAGUCGCGUGAAGGAAGAAGGAUCUAUGGUUCGUAAACUUCUUUUGCAGGGGAAUAAAGUGCGGGACGUGUCCUGUUUUGUAUGUACCCUGAGAAUAAGGAUCGGCUAACUCCGUGCCAGCAGCCGCGGUAAUACGGAGGAUCCGAGCGUUAUCCGGCUUUAUUGGUUUUAAAGGGUGCGUAGGUGGUUUGAUAAGUCAGCGGUGAAAGUUUGCAGCUUAACUGUAAAAAUGCCGUUGAAACUGUCGGACUUGAGUGUAAAUGAGGUAGGCGGAAUGCGUGGUGUAGCGGUGAAAUGCAUAGAUAUCACGCAGAACUCCGAUUGCGAAGGCAGCUUACUAAGCUACAACUGACACUGAAGCACGAAAGCGUGGGGAUCAAACAGGAUUAGAUACCCCGGUAGUCC
RNAcentral lists this ribosomal RNA (445 nucleotides) under uncultured bacterium. Its description in RNAcentral is "partial 16S ribosomal RNA". It matches the Rfam family "Bacterial small subunit ribosomal RNA", at positions 354 to 796 of the family's 1533-position model. The record is from RNAcentral.